RNAcentral lists this ribosomal RNA (517 nucleotides) under uncultured bacterium. RNAcentral's name for it is "bacterial SSU rRNA". It matches the Rfam family "Bacterial small subunit ribosomal RNA", at positions 94 to 630 of the family's 1533-position model. The record is from RNAcentral.
AGCGGCGAACGGGUGAGUAACACGUGGGCAACCUUUCCUAUCGCGGGGGAUAACAGCGGGAAACCGCUGCUAAUACCGCAUGUCGUCACCGGUCGCAUGCCGGUGAAGAAAGCAGCAAUGCACGAUGGGGUGGGCCCGCGGCCUAUCAGCUAGUCGGUGGGGUAACGGCCUACCGAGGCGAUGACGGGUAGCUGGUCUGAGAGGACGACCAGCCACACGGGGACUGAGACACGGCCCCGACUCCUACGGGAGGCAGCAGUGAGGAAUCUUCCGCAAUGGGCGAAAGCCUGACGGAGCGACGCCGCGUGUGGGAUGAAGUCCUUCGGGAUGUAAACCACUGUUGGAGGGGAAGACUUCGACGGUACCCUCCGAGAAAGCCCCGGCUAACUACGUGCCAGCAGCCGCGGUAAUACGUAGGGGGCAAGCGUUAUCCAGAUUUACUGGGCGUAAAGCGCGUGUAGGCGGCUGGUUAAGUGUGAUGUGAAAUCUUCGGGCUCAACCCGAAAACUGCAUUGCA